This 811-nucleotide long non-coding RNA is filed under the name Homo sapiens (human). RNAcentral's name for it is "long intergenic non-protein coding RNA 1255". The record is from RNAcentral. Lineage: Eukaryota; Metazoa; Chordata; Mammalia; Primates; Hominidae.
CAGGUCCAAACCACUGGUAGCAGCCCCUGGUAUAUCCAGGACAUCAGCACAUAGAACCAGUGAAAGGGUCCUCCCUCAUAGUGACGCAUGUCAUAGACUCAGAUUUAUACAAACAAAUGCUGAGCAAACCAUGAAGAGUCUCUGGUAUUUUCAACAAUAUCAUCACAGAGGAACUGUAUUGAUUUCCUUGCACGUUCAGGGUACUGGGAGAGGCAACAGGGAUGGAGGUCCCAUGUCAGGGGACUUCACAGUGUGACGGGAAUGUUCAACCUGCACCUGUUCCUUGCACCAUACUCCAUCCAGCUCUCCGCUCUUCCAGUCAUUUAUGCUCCUGUCUUCCGUGGAGGAAGUCUGGUAGUAUCUCCCCGGGACACUGGCUCAAAUUUCCAGCCACCUGCCCAAGACAGAUGGGACCAGGGGCCAGAUGAUGUGGACAAUGAUGAUGUCACAAAGAGAAGCUGUGCUUUGCCUCUUGGCCUAUUUUCCUUCCUGACUUUUUUCAGCCACAGUGAGUCUCUGAGACCUAGUUUUGGCAGAAGGAAGUACCAGAGGGAGCUGAGCUGUUGAACAUUAUGUGCGAUCAUGUAAUAACUGCAAUCGGAAGGGAAACACUCAGAGUCCUGGAGAAAGAGAAAUUCGCAUUUGUGGACGCCUGCUGGGAGCUAGGCACUUUCGAAUAGUUCCUGUCACCUAACUUAAGUAUCAUUACUCAAGUACUAAUUAACUUAGGUAUUAUGCAGAGAAGUCGAAUAAUUAGAAAAGUGGCAUGACUUAUACAAGGCAACAUAACAGCUAGAAUUUAAAUGUAAAA